UUUCCGUAGGUGAACCUGCGGAAGGAUCAUUACAGUAGUCACCCAGGUUGCCGCAAGGCCUCCUGGGUAACCUACCACCCUUUGUUUAUUACACUUUGUUGCUUUGGCAAGCCUGCCCUCGGGCUGCUGGCUCCGGCCGGCGAGCGCUUGCCAGAGGACCUAAACUCUGUUUGUCUAUACUGUCUGAGUACUAUACAAUAGUUAAAACUCUCAACAACGGAUCUCUUGGUUCUGGCAUCGAUGAAGGCGCAGC
RNAcentral lists this unclassified non-coding RNA (253 nucleotides) under plant metagenome. Its description in RNAcentral is "partial contains small subunit ribosomal RNA, internal transcribed spacer 1, and 5.8S ribosomal RNA". The record is from RNAcentral.